Long non-coding RNA from Gorilla gorilla gorilla (western lowland gorilla), 235 nucleotides. RefSeq lists it as uncharacterized. Lineage: Eukaryota; Metazoa; Chordata; Mammalia; Primates; Hominidae. The record is from RefSeq and is a predicted model, not a curated record. The transcript has 3 exons.
GACAAAAGCUGGUGGGCUGGCCACGGUGUCACGAAUGAAGUCUCCAGUGGCUUCAUCAUAACAACCUUCAUUUCUUCCAGCAUGUGUGAGUGUCCAUUCGCUCUGCUGAAGAAAUAGUGAUGGGUGUGAUCAAGGAAUACUGCCCGAGAUGAGUGGUAUUAAGCAACACAGGAUGGAGAAAACUGAAGCUCGGAGAAAUAAGUGACUCACAGUUUGUAUAAGUUGAUAUUUGAAA